Molecule: transfer RNA, 87 nt
Filed under: Ensifer sp. ENS08
Lineage: Bacteria; Pseudomonadati; Pseudomonadota; Alphaproteobacteria; Hyphomicrobiales; Rhizobiaceae
Description: tRNA-Ile
Rfam family: tRNA
About the family: Transfer RNA (tRNA) molecules are approximately 80 nucleotides in length. Their secondary structure includes four short double-helical elements and three loops (D, anti-codon, and T loops). Further hydrogen bonds mediate the characteristic L-shaped molecular structure. tRNAs have two regions of fundamental functional importance: the anti-codon, which is responsible for specific mRNA codon recognition, and the 3' end, to which the tRNAs corresponding amino acid is attached (by aminoacyl-tRNA synthetases). tRNAs cope with the degeneracy of the genetic code in two manners: having more than one tRNA (with a specific anti-codon) for a particular amino acid; and 'wobble' base-pairing, i.e. permitting non-standard base-pairing at the 3rd anti-codon position.
Source: RNAcentral
GGAAGGGUGGCCGAGUGGUUGAAGGCUCCUGACUGAUACUCAGGCAGACGUGAAAGCGUCUCGCGGGUUCGAAUCCCGCUCCUUAUU